GAUGAACGCUAGCGGCAGGCCUAACACAUGCAAGUCGAGGGAGAGGUUACCUUCGGGUAACCAAAACCGGCGCACGGGUGCGUAACGCGUAUACAAUCUGCCUUUCACAUAGGGAUAGCCCGAAGAAAUUUGGAUUAAUACCUAAUGGUAUAUAAGAGCGGCAUCGUUUUUAUAUUAAAGCUACGGUGGUGAAAGAUGAGUAUGCGUUCUAUUAGCUAGUUGGAGAGGUAACGGCUCCCCAAGGCGACGAUAGAUAGGGGUUCUGAAAGGGAUGUCCCCCACACUGGUACUGAGAUACGGACCAGACUCCUACGGGAGGCAGCAGUGAGGAAUAUUGGACAAUGGUCGGAAGACUGAUCCAGCCAUGCCGCGUGCAGGAUGAAGGUCCUAUGGAUUGUAAACUGCUUUUGUAGGGAAGAAUAAGGAGUACGUGUACUUUGAUGACGGUACCUUACGAAUAAGCAUCGGCUAACUCCGUG
This 479-nucleotide ribosomal RNA is filed under the name uncultured bacterium. RNAcentral's name for it is "partial 16S ribosomal RNA". It matches the Rfam family "Bacterial small subunit ribosomal RNA", at positions 28 to 507 of the family's 1533-position model. The record is from RNAcentral.